GGGCCCAUAGCUCAGGGGUUAGAGCGCGCGACUCAUAAUCGCUUGGUCGUUGGUUCAAAUCCGACUGGGCCCACCA
This 76-nucleotide transfer RNA is filed under the name Pedosphaera sp. RNAcentral describes it as "tRNA-Met". It matches the Rfam family "tRNA". Rfam says of the family: Transfer RNA (tRNA) molecules are approximately 80 nucleotides in length. Their secondary structure includes four short double-helical elements and three loops (D, anti-codon, and T loops). Further hydrogen bonds mediate the characteristic L-shaped molecular structure. tRNAs have two regions of fundamental functional importance: the anti-codon, which is responsible for specific mRNA codon recognition, and the 3' end, to which the tRNAs corresponding amino acid is attached (by aminoacyl-tRNA synthetases). tRNAs cope with the degeneracy of the genetic code in two manners: having more than one tRNA (with a specific anti-codon) for a particular amino acid; and 'wobble' base-pairing, i.e. permitting non-standard base-pairing at the 3rd anti-codon position. RNAcentral also lists the same sequence under 1 other name. Lineage: Bacteria; Pseudomonadati; Verrucomicrobiota; Pedosphaerae; Pedosphaerales; Pedosphaeraceae. The record is from RNAcentral.